CCUUUUUGUUUGGUUACGAAUGUCUUCCUCUUCUCUCCCGAAGGAAGGAAAUCGGGGAAAAAUGAAAAUGAAAGGAAUCGAAGGAGACACCUCAGUGGGAGGAGCAGGGCGUUACAUUUUUAAUCUGACGCGAAUAAUUAGCGAGGACAUAAUAUUUUACGUUGAUGUGGACGCAGAGUCGCUUGUUGAAAUGAAAACAUCGGGAGUCACCAGAUUCAAUUCCAUAAAGCAAUCUAUCCUACUCUUUAUCAAUUCCAAUCACUCUAUCAAACCCGACCACUGCCUCUUGGCUUAGAAAAGAGUUUAGUAGUGAUGUUGAGUCUACCAUUGCUGCUGUUCGAGCAUUCUCGGCUACCACAAUCUCUACUGCGCAAGCAAACCUCACCAAUUUAUUCCGCUUAGCUGCUCAAUUUUAAAAGUGAGAAUAACUUUUUGUUCAAUUUUAAAGUUGUUAUUGAUUUCAUGUUGUUUAAAAGGAUUUUGUUGUUUCAGUUAGAAGCAAUUGGUUGUUUAAUAAAAUUUGAUUAAAAAAGAGAUCAAUAUGGUGGCGCCGGAGUUAGCUGUUGUAUUUACUAAGUUCAGUUAUUCAUUGCUUUUGAAAAGUGCUUUUGAAAAGUGCCGUGGAGAAGUGCUUUUCAGAAGUACUUUUGAGAAGUGCUUUUGAAAAUUUUGAGUGUUUGGUAUUGCUGUCAAAAAGUGCUUUUGAAGAAUAAAAUGUUCAUUUUAGAUAUGAUAUUAUAAAGUAAUAAAUAUGUAUUUAAAUAAUGUUCAAAUUAGUUAAUAUUAUGAUAUUUUAGCAAAAAUAUCAAAAAAUUAUUAUAACUUAUUAUUAAUAUUUUAAUAUAUAAUAUUAAUUUUAAAUAUUUCUAAGUAAUUAAAAUUAUUUAUUUAUUAAAUUUAAUUAGAAUAUAUAACAUAUAUUUAAAUAUUUAAAUAUAAUAAUUAAAUAUUUGUAAUUAGAUAUUGACACAUUAUCUAAUAAAAGUAUUGGCGCGCAUAGCGCAUACUACUUUUUAAUACCAUAUAAAAGUAAGGUUAAAUACUACUCAACAAUUUAAUAUACCAUAUAUAUUUUUAGAAAUAAAUAAAUUGCCAGUAAAAGAAAGGCUACCCACGCUUGGUUAUACAAAUAAAGCAGUUCCUAAAAGAUUAUUAUAAAUACAGAAAGUUUGUGUGUGUGGUGGGGCUAAAAAAGUAAAAAACCAGCUUAGAAGCACUUUUCUGCUGGAAAAGCUAUAAAUUUCUGCUUCUUCAUCUUGGCAAAAGCACUUUAAAGAAGUUGAAAAAUUGACCCCAAAUGAAGGUUAUUCUUCAUUACUUUUCACCCAAAAGCACUUUUGGGUGUAAAAGUGCUUUUCCACCGGGUAGAAGAACACUAUCUACUUCAGGCCAUGCAUCUAUGGUCUCCAUAAACAUAUUUGUAGCUCUUCUUUGUGCUUGCAUUGUGAUUGGUCAUCUUUUGGAGGAGAAUAGAUGGAUGAACGAAUCAAUUACUGCCCUUAUCAUUGUGAGUUUCUCUAUUGACAUCUUUUGACGUGGAUUUUGUCAUUCAUGGACAAUUCAGCUAAGUUUUGAUUACAUGGUUUUGUAUGCUUUUCUUGUUUGAUAUCUUUGAUUUAAAUUACUUUUGUUGGCAGGGUGUUUUUACUGGGGUCAUUAUUUUGUUGACAAGUGGGGGUAAAGGCUCUCAUAUUUUAGUCUUCAGUGAAGAUUUGUUCUUUAUCUAUCUUCUGCCCCUAUUAUACCUUGUAAAAGGUAAAAUAGAUGGACAUAUAAUACUUGUCCAAUGUGAAGCUUUGUUUUGUUUAAAUAGCCAUUCCUGAGUUUCUAUUCUGGCUUAAACUUGAGUGCAUUGAGAAUUCCCCAAUGUUUUCAUUGCUGUAAACAGAGGAACAUAUAUGUCUUUUCUACUUGUUAAGGUUUGAUGUUUUAUUUAAAAUUUUUUAGAGUAAAAAUGAUGGCGACAUUUAGUUAAUAUUUUGCUUUCCUAAAGCCUUUCUGAUCUCUGCUUUCUCUGCCAGGUUUCAGGUGAAAAAGAGGCAUUUUUUCCGUAACUUUUUCACCAUCAUGCUGUUUGGGGCUGUUGGUACACUAGUAUCUGGUACAAUUAUAUCUUUAGGUAUUUCCAACGGCCUUAUGGAGACAGUAUAUAGUAGUGUAGAUGUUCUUAAGCGAAGCACCUCAAUUCGCUGGAAUAAUAAACGACAAAGUGGUUUUAAAUCGAUGAAGAAGAAAAUUGAAGGAGCAACAGACGAAAUUAGAAAUGUUGUAAGGAUUGGUAAUUACACAAUCCCUAAAGAGAUGAAUGAGGUCUGCAAUUGGAUUACAGCAAGGUUGGGGCUUGAGGGAUAACGCUAAAUAUAGCAAAGAGUCGGGAAGCAAUAAAGGUGAAAAGAAAGAAGACUGCAUAUGUUACAAGUAGGUAGUAAACAAAAUGGAUUGUUAGGGUAUAUGGUUACUUGGAUCUGGAGAUGCUUCACUACCUGGGGCUACCCUUGUUGAAAUAAAAGAUUAGUAGAGUUUCUUGGAAUUGAAGUUGCAAUUUCAAACUGUAUUAGCUUUUAUGUAGUACAACAUCAAUAUCAAUGCCCAUCAUCUUAGGUACUUUUUUAUUUGUUUACUUUUGUACAUUGAGUUGAAUGUUGGUGGUAUUCAUUUCGGCUAAAUGUUAGUGUAUUUUGAUGGUUGGAUUAA
RNA transcript from Gossypium raimondii (Peruvian cotton), 2694 nucleotides. RefSeq lists it as uncharacterized. The record is from RefSeq and is a predicted model, not a curated record. The transcript is spliced from 3 exons. NCBI's taxonomy places the organism in Eukaryota, Viridiplantae, Streptophyta, Magnoliopsida, Malvales, Malvaceae.